AGUGAACGCUGGCGGUAGGCCUAACACAUGCAAGUCGAACGGCAGCACAGUAAGAGCUUGCCCUUACGGGUGGCGAGUGGCGGACGGGUGAGGAAUACAUCGGAAUCUACUUUUUCGUGGGGGAUAUCGUAGGGAAACUUACGCUACUACCGCAUAUGACCUACGGGUGAAAGCAGGGGAUCUUCGGACCUUGCGCGUUUGAAUGAGCCGAUGUCGGAUUAGCUAGUUGGCGGGGUAAAGGCCCACCAAGGCGACGAUCCGUAGCUGGUCUGAGAGGAUGAUCAGCCACACUGGAACUGAGACACGGUCCAGACUCCUACGGGAGGCAGCAGUGGGGAAUAUUGGACAAUGGGCGCAAGCCUGAUCCAGCCAUACCGCGUGGGUGAAGAAGGCCUUCGGGUUGUAAAGCCCUUUUGUUAGGAAAGAAAAGCAGCAGGUUAAUACCCCGCUGUUCUGACGGUACCCAAAGAAUAAGCACCGGCUAACUUCGUG
This 492-nucleotide ribosomal RNA is filed under the name uncultured bacterium. RNAcentral describes it as "partial 16S ribosomal RNA". It matches the Rfam family "Bacterial small subunit ribosomal RNA", at positions 29 to 507 of the family's 1533-position model. The record is from RNAcentral.